This 478-nucleotide ribosomal RNA is filed under the name uncultured bacterium. RNAcentral describes it as "partial 16S ribosomal RNA". It matches the Rfam family "Bacterial small subunit ribosomal RNA", at positions 28 to 523 of the family's 1533-position model. The record is from RNAcentral.
GACGAACGCUGGCGGCGUGCUUAACACAUGCAAGUCGAACGGUAAGGCCCUUCGGGGUACACGAGUGGCGAACGGGUGAGUAACACGUGGGUGAUCUGCCCUGCACUUCGGGAUAAGCCUGGGAAACUGGGUCUAAUACCGGAUAGGACCACUGCCUGCAUGGGGGGUGGUGGAAAGCUUUUGCGGUGUGGGAUGGGCCCGGGGGCUAUCAGCUUGUUGGUGGGGUGAUGGCCCACCAAGGCGACGACGGGUAGCCGGCCUGAGAGGGUGACCGGCCACCCUGGGACUGAGAUACGGCCCAGACUCCUACGGGGGGCAGCAGUGGGGAAUAUUGCACAAUGGGCGCAAGCCUGAUGCAGCGCCGCCGCGUGAGGGAUGACGGCCUUCGGGUUGUAAACCUCUUUCAGCACCGACGAAGCGCAAGUGACGGUAGGUGCAGAAGAAGGACCGGCCAACUACGUGCCAGCCGCCGCGGUAA